This 100-nucleotide non-coding RNA is filed under the name uncultured Metasolibacillus sp. RNAcentral's name for it is "TPP riboswitch (THI element)". It matches the Rfam family "TPP riboswitch aptamer (THI element)". From Rfam's summary of the family: Vitamin B(1) in its active form thiamin pyrophosphate (TPP) is an essential coenzyme that is synthesised by coupling of pyrimidine and thiazole moieties in bacteria. Lineage: Bacteria; Bacillati; Bacillota; Bacilli; Caryophanales; Caryophanaceae. The record is from RNAcentral.
ACCACUAGGGGAGCCUUUGAGAGAGGCUGAGAUGUAUCUGUGCGAUAUAGACCCUUUGAACCUGAUCUAGCUUACACUAGCGUAGGAAAGUGGCGACAUU